RNAcentral lists this ribosomal RNA (327 nucleotides) under uncultured eukaryote. RNAcentral's name for it is "partial 18S ribosomal RNA". It matches the Rfam family "Eukaryotic small subunit ribosomal RNA", at positions 1470 to 1796 of the family's 1831-position model. The record is from RNAcentral.
CCCCUAGAUGUUCUGGGCCGCACGCGCGCUACACUGAACAGUUCAACAAGUCUUAACCUUGGCCGAUAGGUCUGGGUAAUCUUUGAACGCUGUUCGUGAUUGGGAUAGACCUUUGCAAUUAUGGGUCUUCAACGAGGAAUUCCUAGUAAACGCAAGUCAUCAGCUUGCAUUGAUUACGUCCCUGCCCUUUGUACACACCGCCCGUCGCACCUACCGAUUGAAUGACUCGGUGAAAAAUUGGGACUGUUUAUUUGUUUGCUUCAUUGCGAACGUUUGAAUGGAAACUUUUUUUAACCUCGCCAUUUAGAGGAAGGUGAAGUCGUAACA